AUGAACGCUGGCGGCGUGGAUAAGGCAUGCAAGUCGAACGGAAUACAUUUUGAGAUUAUAUCAAUGGAUGUGUUUAGUGGCAGACGGGGUAGUAACACGUAGGUACUUCCCCCAGAGACGAGAACAACUCCGCGAAAGCGGAGCUAAUACUCGAUGGUCCCCGAGCGUAAGCGAGGGGUAAAUCUCGCAAGAGGCUCUGGGAAAGGCCUGCGGGCUAUCAGCUAGUUGGUAGGGUAACGGCCUACCAAGGCUAUGACGGCUAGGGGACGUGAGAGCGUGACCCCCACCAAUGGGACUGAGAUACGGCCCAUACACCUACGGGUGGCAGCAGCCGAGAAUAUUCGACAAUGGGCGAAAGCCUGAUCGAGCGACGCCGCGUGCAGGAUGAAGUCCUUCGGGACGUAAACUGCUUUUAUAGGGGAGGAACGCAAGUGACUGUACCCUAUGAAUAAGGACUUGCUAAUCUCGU
RNAcentral lists this ribosomal RNA (469 nucleotides) under uncultured bacterium. RNAcentral describes it as "bacterial SSU rRNA". It matches the Rfam family "Bacterial small subunit ribosomal RNA", at positions 29 to 506 of the family's 1533-position model. The record is from RNAcentral.